This 759-nucleotide ribosomal RNA is filed under the name Rhodococcoides fascians. RNAcentral describes it as "bacterial SSU rRNA". It matches the Rfam family "Bacterial small subunit ribosomal RNA", at positions 26 to 802 of the family's 1533-position model. The record is from RNAcentral. Lineage: Bacteria; Bacillati; Actinomycetota; Actinomycetes; Mycobacteriales; Nocardiaceae.
AGGACGAACGCUGGCGGCGUGCUUAACACAUGCAAGUCGAGCGGUAAGGCCUUUCGGGGUACACGAGCGGCGAACGGGUGAGUAACACGUGGGUGAUCUGCCCUGCACUCUGGGAUAAGCUUGGGAAACUGGGUCUAAUACCGGAUAUGACUGCAUCAUGCAUGGGGUGUGGUGGAAAGAUUUAUCGGUGCAGGAUGGGCCCGCGGCCUAUCAGCUUGUUGGUGGGGUAAUGGCCUACCAAGGCGACGACGGGUAGCCGACCUGAGAGGGUGACCGGCCACACUGGGACUGAGACACGGCCCAGACUCCUACGGGAGGCAGCAGUGGGGAAUAUUGCACAAUGGGCGGAAGCCUGAUGCAGCGACGCCGCGUGAGGGAUGAAGGCCUUCGGGUUGUAAACCUCUUUCAGCAGGGACGAAGCGUGAGUGACGGUACCUGCAGAAGAAGCACCGGCUAACUACGUGCCAGCAGCCGCGGUAAUACGUAGGGUGCGAGCGUUGUCCGGAAUUACUGGGCGUAAAGAGUUCGUAGGCGGUUUGUCGCGUCGUUUGUGAAAACCCGGGGCUCAACUUCGGGCUUGCAGGCGAUACGGGCAGACUUGAGUGUUUCAGGGGAGACUGGAAUUCCUGGUGUAGCGGUGAAAUGCGCAGAUAUCAGGAGGAACACCGGUGGCGAAGGCGGGUCUCUGGGAAACAACUGACGCUGAGGAACGAAAGCGUGGGUAGCAAACAGGAUUAGAUACCCUGGUAGUCCACGCCG